Molecule: non-coding RNA, 72 nt
Organism: Bos taurus (domestic cattle)
Lineage: Eukaryota; Metazoa; Chordata; Mammalia; Artiodactyla; Bovidae
Source: Rfam
UCCCUCAUAGCUCAGUCGGUAAAGAAUCUGCCUGUAAUGCAGGAGGCCCGGAUUCGAUUCCUGGGUUGGGAA